Long non-coding RNA from Ostrinia nubilalis (European corn borer), 973 nucleotides. RefSeq lists it as uncharacterized. NCBI's taxonomy places the organism in Eukaryota, Metazoa, Arthropoda, Insecta, Lepidoptera, Crambidae. The transcript has 4 exons. The record is from RefSeq and is a predicted model, not a curated record.
UAUAAUUUAGCCGUACAAAAUCAAAAACUAUUCAUGAAUUAUCAUUCUCAAAUGGAUACACAAGAUGGUGGAUGGCGUCAAAUAAAAAAAAAGAUGAACCAUAGACUAAACGUCAGUCGCUAUCAGAUUUCAAUCUGUCACUCACUUCCGUCUUGUUUGUUCUGUUUGUUUUUAUUGCGUUUACGCGUUUAUCUGUCUGUCUCCCGAGUUCUUUUUAUCAACAUUUCUCUGUGACCUGGCUUUCGUUCUUGGAUUGCUAUCUGCCUCAUCUGAUGACCAUGGCAUGUGUUGUAUGGACUUGAGACACAUCGUGCGAUUUGACUGUUGUUUUGAUAAACAUCCUCCUAGGAUCCGAUUGAUUCCCGAUACUAUCAGUGUAGUGAAAUGGGCCCUGAAAUCAUUUCUAUUAUUCAAAAUGCCAUAUGCCAAAAGGCACCCGAAGAUGGCUUAGUGUGCUAUGAGUGUUGAGUAAGAGUUACAUGAUCUGAGAUCUCUUCCGCAGCAAGAAGUUGAAGCUUACAGGAAAGCGAGAACCCUCGACAAUUAAUACUUGUGUAUGGUGCUUAGGCUCUCUUGUUGAGACCAGAAGGCAUUCUUUGCCCGAGGGACCGGAACAGGAUGAAAUAAUUGCAAGAUUUUUCCUAGAGAUUCCAUGUGGCUGGUGGCCAUGUAUGUUAUGCGUGCUGGGUUUCAGCAUGUAAAAAUGUGCAAAGAGCCCGGAACUCCUCUCUGAAGGCAAACUCGUGCCAUAACUACUGGGCCAGCAAGAAUUAGCAACCAGGCCCUGUGUUAGUAAGGGUUGUGUAUAAAGCCUCGUCAUCAUUCUGGAAGAAAAAUAUGUACUCGUACAAUCACCAUUGUUUGGUACUUGGGUUGGGCUCGGCUAGUGUCCUGCUAUUGCUGCACCGGCCUCAUUCUUGGAUAAUAUUUUAAUAAGGGAAGAUGAUGAUUGAAUAAAAACUAAUGAAAAUAA